UACGAAGGACCCAAGCGUUAUCCGGAUUUAUUGGGCUUAAAGGGUGCGUAGGCGGGUUAUUAAGUCAGUGGUGAAAGCCUACAGCUUAACUGUAGAAUUGCCAUUGAUACUGGCGACCUUGAGUCCGGGAGAGGUGAGUGGAACUGCGAGUGUAGAGGUGAAAUUCGUAGAUAUUCGCAAGAACACCAGUGGCGAAGGCGGCUCACUGGCCCGGUACUGACGCUGAGGUGCGAAAGCGUGGGGAGCAAACAGG
RNAcentral lists this ribosomal RNA (253 nucleotides) under uncultured bacterium. Its description in RNAcentral is "partial 16S ribosomal RNA". It matches the Rfam family "Bacterial small subunit ribosomal RNA", at positions 524 to 776 of the family's 1533-position model. The record is from RNAcentral.